Molecule: ribosomal RNA, 404 nt
Filed under: Actinomycetes bacterium
Lineage: Bacteria; Bacillati; Actinomycetota; Actinomycetes
Description: Actinobacteria bacterium partial 16S ribosomal RNA
Rfam family: Bacterial small subunit ribosomal RNA
Source: RNAcentral
UGGGGAAUAUUGGACAAUGGGCGCAAGCCUGAUCCAGCCAUGCCGCGUGAGUGAUGAAGGCCCUAGGGUUGUAAAGCUCUUUCACCGGUGAAGAUAAUGACGGUAACCGGAGAAGAAGCCCCGGCUAACUUCGUGCCAGCAGCCGCGGUAAUACGAAGGGGGCUAGCGUUGUUCGGAUUUACUGGGCGUAAAGCGCACGUAGGCGGACUUUUAAGUCAGGGGUGAAAUCCCGGGGCUCAACCCCCGAACUGCCUUUGAUACUGGAAGUCUUGAGUAUGGUAGAGGUGAGUGGACUUCCGAGUGUAGAGGUGACAUUCGUAGAUAUUCGGAGGAACACCAGUGGCGAAGGCGGCUCACUGGACCAUUACUGACGCUGAGGUGCGAAAGCGUGGGGAGCAAACAGG